AGUGAACGCUGGCGGUAGGCCUAACACAUGCAAGUCGAACGGCAGCACAGUAAGAGCUUGCUCUUACGGGUGGCGAGUGGCGGACGGGUGAGGAAUACAUCGGAAUCUACUUUUUCGUGGGGGAUAACGUAGGGAAACUUACGCUAAUACCGCAUACGACCUACGGGUGAAAGCAGGGGAUCUUCGGACCUUGCGCGAUUGAAUGAGCCGAUGUCGGAUUAGCUAGUUGGCGGGGUAAAGGCCCACCAAGGCGACGAUCCGUAGCUGGUCUGAGAGGAUGAUCAGCCACACUGGAACUGAGACACGUUCCAGACUCCUACGGGAGGCAGCAGUGGGGAAUAUUGGACAAUGGGCGCAAGCCUGAUCCAGCCAUACCGCGUGGGUGAAGAAGGCCUUCGGGUUGUAAAGCCCCUUUGUUGGGAAAGAAAAGCAGCAGGUUAAUACCCCGCUGUUCUGACGGUACCCAAAGAAUAAGCACCGGCUAACUUCGUG
Molecule: ribosomal RNA, 492 nt
Filed under: uncultured bacterium
Lineage: Bacteria
Description: partial 16S ribosomal RNA
Rfam family: Bacterial small subunit ribosomal RNA
Source: RNAcentral